This 189-nucleotide unclassified non-coding RNA is filed under the name plant metagenome. RNAcentral describes it as "partial contains small subunit ribosomal RNA and internal transcribed spacer 1". The stretch from base 1 to 46 matches the Rfam family "Eukaryotic small subunit ribosomal RNA", at positions 1786 to 1831 of the family's 1831-position model. The record is from RNAcentral.
AAGUCGUAACAAGGUUUCCGUAGGUGAACCUGCGGAAGGAUCAUUACUGAGAGUACCAGGCUCUGCCUGGCUACUUUUACCCAUGUUUUUAGAGUACCAAAAGUUUCCUCAGCGGCUCUGCCCGCCGGUCGGACUCCAUUCAAACCCUUUGCAGUUGCAGUCAGCGUCUGAUAAACAAAAUAAUUACAA